RNAcentral lists this ribosomal RNA (254 nucleotides) under uncultured bacterium. Its description in RNAcentral is "partial 16S ribosomal RNA". It matches the Rfam family "Bacterial small subunit ribosomal RNA", at positions 524 to 776 of the family's 1533-position model. The record is from RNAcentral.
UACGUAGGGGGCAAGCGUUAUUCGGAAUUAUUGGGCGUAAAGAGCUCGUAGGCGGUGUGUCGCGUCGGCCGUGAAAACCUGCAGCUUAACUGUGGGCGUGCGGUCGAUACGGGCAUCACUGGAGUUCGGCAGGGGAGACUGGAAUUCCUGGUGUAGCGGUGAAAUGCGCAGAUAUCAGGAGGAACACCGGUGGCGAAGGCGGGACUCUGGGCCGAUACUGACGCUGAGGAGCGAAAGCGUGGGGAGCAAACAGG